AUUGAACGCUGGCGGCAGGCCUAACACAUGCAAGUCGAGCGCGAAAGUUCUUCGGAAUGAGUAAAGCGGCGGACGGGUGAGUAAUACAUGGGAAUCUGCCUGGUAGUGGGGAACAACGCUUCGAAAGGAACGCUAAUACCGCAUACGCCCUACGGGGGAAAGGGGGGGAUCUUCGGGCCUCUCGCUAUCAGAUGAGCCCA
This 200-nucleotide ribosomal RNA is filed under the name uncultured bacterium. RNAcentral describes it as "partial 16S ribosomal RNA". It matches the Rfam family "Bacterial small subunit ribosomal RNA", at positions 30 to 233 of the family's 1533-position model. The record is from RNAcentral.